This 73-nucleotide transfer RNA is filed under the name Veillonella montpellierensis DNF00314. It matches the Rfam family "tRNA". Rfam says of the family: Transfer RNA (tRNA) molecules are approximately 80 nucleotides in length. The record is from Rfam by way of RNAcentral. Lineage: Bacteria; Bacillati; Bacillota; Negativicutes; Veillonellales; Veillonellaceae.
GGAUCAAUAGCUCAGCUGGCAGAGCACCUGACUCUUAAUCAGGGUGUCCAGGGUUCGAACCCCUGUUGAUCCA